Molecule: non-coding RNA, 50 nt
Organism: Paenibacillus sp. JCM 10914
Lineage: Bacteria; Bacillati; Bacillota; Bacilli; Caryophanales; Paenibacillaceae
Source: Rfam
AGGAGAAACCGGACGAAGAGCUUAUGGGGAAACGUAAGUCUUCUCCGCGG